AGAGUUUUAUGACUGGUAAACC
This 22-nucleotide small nuclear RNA is filed under the name Arabidopsis thaliana (thale cress). RNAcentral describes it as "snRNA_07994". Lineage: Eukaryota; Viridiplantae; Streptophyta; Magnoliopsida; Brassicales; Brassicaceae. The record is from RNAcentral.